UGGUAGUGUUCGGGUGACUUGAGUACAUGAACUUUGACUGACCAUGUACUCAAGUCGCCCAAACACCACUG
This 71-nucleotide microRNA precursor is filed under the name Haemonchus contortus (barber pole worm). RNAcentral describes it as "microRNA hco-mir-5922 precursor". The record is from miRBase by way of RNAcentral. Lineage: Eukaryota; Metazoa; Nematoda; Chromadorea; Rhabditida; Trichostrongylidae.